AAUGAACGCUGGCGGCGCGCCUAAUACAUGCAAGUCGAGCGAGAAGACGUAGCAAUACGUUUGUAAAGCGGCGAACGGGUGAGGAAUACAUGGGUAACCUACCCUCGAGUGGGGAAUAACUAGCCGAAAGGUUAGCUAAUACCGCGUACGCUUCUUGGACUUCGGUUCAGGGAGGAAAGCGAUGCCGAGGGUAUCGCGCUCUUGGAUGGGCUCAUGUCCUAUCAGCUUGUUGGUGAGGUAACGGCUCACCAAGGCUUCGACGGGUAGCUGGUCUGAGAGGACGAUCAGCCACACUGGCACUGCGACACGGGCCAGACUCCUACGGGAGGCAGCAGUAAGGAAUAUUGCGCAAUGGGCGAAAGCCUGACGCAGCGACGCCGCGUGGGGGAUGAAGGU
Molecule: ribosomal RNA, 396 nt
Filed under: uncultured bacterium
Lineage: Bacteria
Description: bacterial SSU rRNA
Rfam family: Bacterial small subunit ribosomal RNA
Source: RNAcentral